GACGAACGCUGGCGGCGUGCCUAAUACAUGCAAGUUGAGCGCUGAAGGUUGGUACUUGUACCAACUGGAUGAGCAGCGAACGGGUGAGUAACGCGUGGGGAAUCUGCCUUUGAGCGGGGGACAACAUUUGGAAACGAAUGCUAAUACCGCAUAAAAACUUUAAACACAAGUUUUAAGUUUGAAAGAUGCAAUUGCAUCACUCAAAGAUGAUCCCGCGUUGUAUUAGCUAGUUGGUGAGGUAAAGGCUCACCAAGGCGAUGAUACAUAGCCGACCUGAGAGGGUGAUCGGCCACAUUGGGACUGAGACACGGCCCAAACUCCUACGGGAGGCAGCAGUAGGGAAUCUUCGGCAAUGGACGAAAGUCUGACCGAGCAACGCCUCGUGAGUGAAGAAGGUUUUCGGAUCGUAAAACUCUGUUGGUAGAGAAGAACGUUGGUGAGAGUGGAAAGCUCAUCAAGUGACGGUAACUACCCAGAAAGGGACGGCUAACUACGUG
RNAcentral lists this ribosomal RNA (497 nucleotides) under uncultured bacterium. RNAcentral's name for it is "partial 16S ribosomal RNA". It matches the Rfam family "Bacterial small subunit ribosomal RNA", at positions 28 to 507 of the family's 1533-position model. The record is from RNAcentral.